This 253-nucleotide ribosomal RNA is filed under the name uncultured bacterium. RNAcentral's name for it is "partial 16S ribosomal RNA". It matches the Rfam family "Bacterial small subunit ribosomal RNA", at positions 524 to 776 of the family's 1533-position model. The record is from RNAcentral.
UACGUAGGUGGCAAGCGUUGUCCGGAUUUAUUGGGCGUAAAGAGCUCGUAGGCGGUUUGUCGCGUCUGCCGUGAAAGUCCGAGGCUCAACCUCGGAUCUGCGGUGGGUACGGGCAGACUAGAGUGAUGUAGGGGAGACUGGAAUUCCUGGUGUAGCGGUGAAAUGCGCAGAUAUCAGGAGGAACACCGAUGGCGAAGGCAGGUCUCUGGGCAUUUACUGACGCUGAGGAGCGAAAGCAUGGGGAGCGAACAGG